GGCUCGUCGCGCGCCCACGAAUGAGGGGCGUGAGGAAAGUCCGGGCAACACAGGGCACCAUACCGGCUAACGACCGGCAGUCGGCAACGGCUGAGCAGCGUGACAGAAAAAAACCGCCCCCGGUGCGGCUUCGUGACGAAGCUGACGCCGGGGGUAAGGGUGAAAAGGUGGUGUAAGAGACCACCGGCUGCGUCGGCAACGGCGCAGGCCGCACGUCUUAUGGGUUGCAAGGUCAAGUAUACCGGCAUUUAAGGGCGGCCCGUCCAUUGCCGGGGGGUAGACUGCUACAUGGCGGCGGUAACGUCGUCGGCAGAUAAAUGACGAGCAGUGCGCGCCGGCUCUGCGGACCCCGGAUGCCCCGCAUCCCCCGCAGAAAGCAGCCGCACCACAUAACCCGGCUUACAUCCGGUCCC
Molecule: RNase P RNA, 413 nt
Filed under: pig gut metagenome
Description: Bacterial RNase P class A
Rfam family: Bacterial RNase P class A (bases 2-327)
About the family: Ribonuclease P (RNase P) is a ubiquitous endoribonuclease, found in archaea, bacteria and eukarya as well as chloroplasts and mitochondria. Its best characterised activity is the generation of mature 5'-ends of tRNAs by cleaving the 5'-leader elements of precursor-tRNAs.
Source: RNAcentral